This is a long non-coding RNA of Myotis davidii, 870 nucleotides long. RefSeq lists it as uncharacterized. The transcript has 3 exons. The record is from RefSeq and is a predicted model, not a curated record. Lineage: Eukaryota; Metazoa; Chordata; Mammalia; Chiroptera; Vespertilionidae.
CCAGAGUAGAGAUGUGGCCCAGUUCAGGAAUGUCGUCACACAACUGGAAGCUGAUUUAGACAUUACCAAAAGACAGCUAGGGACCGAGCGCUUUGAAAGGGAGAGGGCUGUGCAAGAACUUCGCCGCCAGAACUACUCAAGUAAUGCUUAUUAUUUGAAUUCUACAAUAAAGCCAAUUACAAAAUGUCAUUCACCGGAACGUGCUCACCACCGAUCUCCUGACCGAGGCCUGGAUCGAUCUCUAGAAGAGAAUCUUUGCUAUAGAGAUUUCUGAUAUGCGAAAAGAUUCUUCACAUCCUUGGGAAAGGUCAAAAUGUCAAUCUGAUUUUUUUUGCUAUUGAUUGCAUUUAUUUUUGAAUCCUUGACAAUGUUAAAUGUAUAUAUUAACUUUGUGCCUCUGAAUUUCUGUUCUCAUGUGCCAUAUUACAGUGAUCAGAGAUGACUUACUAAAACAAAAAUGCAUGUGGCUCUUUCUACCCAUACAGUAAUAGUGAGUGUAAAGUCCACUUACUUCACUAUUGAAUACUGUUAUGUUAACUAUCCGGAGUAAAUAAAGAAGCUUGUAAAAAAGAAGGAAAAGUGUUCUUUACAAAACUAUGUGUUUUUUACAAAACUGAUUUCCUUACCUUUCUUGGUCUCUCAAAUAAUUGGUAGGUUAUUUUUCUUUGUUACUUAUCCUUUCUUGAUGGGGAAGUUCUGCCAAAAUAGGCACAGUUUACUGAUCCUGGCCUGGGUCCCAAUAUGCCACUUUGGACCCAGCCUGAUGUAAAUUCCAGGCCAUAAUCUGACUUCAAAGCAGCAGAUAGUAGGAGUGUGUCAGGAUUUUUAAAACCAUAAUAUUGUACCACUGAUUAACAUACAUUUCUGCAA